Molecule: long non-coding RNA, 336 nt
Filed under: Trifolium pratense (red clover)
Lineage: Eukaryota; Viridiplantae; Streptophyta; Magnoliopsida; Fabales; Fabaceae
Description: long non-coding RNA (TPRA_LNC004453)
Source: RNAcentral
GUAUGGCUUUCUCUCCCCGAAUGAUUCGAGACCCUGACGUAUGGCUCGUGACUUGAAUCAUUCUCAUUCCCCAACGCUAAAAAACAUUAAAACACUUCAUCAUCCGCUUUAUCUUUCUUUUUGAUUUUCUUAAAUCAAAUAAAAGAACUUAAGCAUAAUUAGAGUGAAAAAGGGCUAGUCUGACGUAUGGCUUUCUUCCCCGGAUAGUUCGAGACCCUGACGUAUGGCUCGUGACUCGAAUUAUCCUCAUUCUCGGACGUUUUCAUUAAAACUCCUAAAAUCAACUCAACACACUCAAACCUUUUUCACUGCCCACGCGCGCAGUAAAAGUAAAAC